Molecule: ribosomal RNA, 759 nt
Filed under: uncultured bacterium
Lineage: Bacteria
Description: bacterial SSU rRNA
Rfam family: Bacterial small subunit ribosomal RNA
Source: RNAcentral
AGAGUUUGAUCCUGGCUCAGAUUGAACGCUGGCGGAAUGCUUUACACAUGCAAGUCGAACGGCAGCACGGACUUCGGUCUGGUGGCGAGUGGCGAACGGGUGAGUAACAUAUCGGAACGUAUCCAAUAAUGGGGGAUAACUAAUCGAAAGGUUGGCUAAUACCGCAUACGCCCUACGGGGGAAAGCUAGGGACCUUCGGGCCUGGCGUUAAUGGAGCGGCCGAUAUCUGAUUAGCUAGUUGGUGGGGUAAAGGCCCACCAAGGCGACGAUCAGUAGCUGGUCUGAGAGGACGACCAGCCACACUGGAACUGAGACACGGUCCAGACUCCUACGGGAGGCAGCAGUGGGGAAUUUUGGACAAUGGGCGCAAGCCUGAUCCAGCCAUUCCGCGUGAGUGAAGAAGGCCUUCGGGUUGUAAAGCUCUUUCGCAAGGGAAGAAAACUUAGCCUCUAACAUAGGCUGAGGUUGACGGUACCUUGAUAAGAAGCACCGGCUAACUACGUGCCAGCAGCCGCGGUAAUACGUAGGGUGCGAGCGUUAAUCGGAAUUACUGGGCGUAAAGCGUGCGCAGGCGGCCUUAAAAGUCAGAUGUGAAAUCCCCGAGCUCAACUUGGGAACUGCGUUUGAAACUCUAAGGCUAGAAUAUGUCAGAGGGGGGUAGAAUUCCACGUGUAGCAGUGAAAUGCGUAGAGAUGUGGAGGAAUACCAAUGGCGANNNCAGCCCCCUGGGAUAAUAUUGACGCUCAUGCACGAAAGCGU